Molecule: ribosomal RNA, 788 nt
Filed under: Escherichia coli
Lineage: Bacteria; Pseudomonadati; Pseudomonadota; Gammaproteobacteria; Enterobacterales; Enterobacteriaceae
Description: partial 23S ribosomal RNA
Rfam family: Bacterial large subunit ribosomal RNA
Source: RNAcentral
AAUAUGGGGGGACCAUCCUCCAAGGCUAAAUACUCCUGACUGACCGAUAGUGAACCAGUACCGUGAGGGAAAGGCGAAAAGAACCCCGGCGAGGGGAGUGAAAAAGAACCUGAAACCGUGUACGUACAAGCAGUGGGAGCCUCUUUAUGGGGUGACUGCGUACCUUUUGUAUAAUGGGUCAGCGACUUAUAUUCUGUAGCAAGGUUAACCGAAUAGGGGAGCCGAAGGGAAACCGAGUCUUAACUGGGCGUUAAGUUGCAGGGUAUAGACCCGAAACCCGGUGAUCUAGCCAUGGGCAGGUUGAAGGUUGGGUAACACUAACUGGAGGACCGAACCGACUAAUGUUGAAAAAUUAGCGGAUGACUUGUGGCUGGGGGUGAAAGGCCAAUCAAACCGGGAGAUAGCUGGUUCUCCCCGAAAGCUAUUUAGGUAGCGCCUCGUGAAUUCAUCUCCGGGGGUAGAGCACUGUUUCGGCAAGGGGGUCAUCCCGACUUACCAACCCGAUGCAAACUGCGAAUACCGGAGAAUGUUAUCACGGGAGACACACGGCGGGUGCUAACGUCCGUCGUGAAGAGGGAAACAACCCAGACCGCCAGCUAAGGUCCCAAAGUCAUGGUUAAGUGGGAAACGAUGUGGGAAGGCCCAGACAGCCAGGAUGUUGGCUUAGAAGCAGCCAUCAUUUAAAGAAAGCGUAAUAGCUCACUGGUCGAGUCGGCCUGCGCGGAAGAUGUAACGGGGCUAAACCAUGCACCGAAGCUGCGGCAGCGACGCUUAUGCGUUGUUGGGUA